RNAcentral lists this ribosomal RNA (703 nucleotides) under Paraeuchaeta norvegica. Its description in RNAcentral is "SSU rRNA". It matches the Rfam family "Eukaryotic small subunit ribosomal RNA", at positions 195 to 894 of the family's 1831-position model. Lineage: Eukaryota; Metazoa; Arthropoda; Copepoda; Calanoida; Euchaetidae. The record is from RNAcentral.
UAAGGGGCGCUUUUAUUAGAUCAACAACCAAACGGCUUCGGCUGUUCUCUUGGUGACUCUGAAUAACUUUGGGCUGAUCGCAUAGCCUAGCGCUGGCGACAUAUCCUUCGAAGGUGUGCCCUAUCAACUGUCGACUGUGGCAUAGACGCCCACAGUGGUUUUGACGGGUAACGGGGAAUCAGGGUUCGAUUCCGGAGAGGGAGCCUUAGAAACGGGCUACCACAUCUAAGGAAGGCAGCAGGCACGCAAAUUACCCAAUGACCGGAAGGUCGAGGUAGUGACGAAAAAUAACGAUACGGGACUCAUCUGAGGCCCCGUAAUCGGAAUGAGUACACUUUAAAACCGUCCCCGAGGAUCUAUUGGAGGGCAAGUCUGGUGCCAGCAGCCGCGGUAAUUCCAGCUCCAAUAGCGUAUAUUAAAGUUGUUGUGGUUAAAAAGCUCGUAGUUGGAUCUCGGCGGUCUGAGGGCGGUUCACUUGCUAGUGCUACUGCCCUAUAGACCGUAGUUUUGCCAGAGGUCUCAGGGUGCUCUUAAUCGAGUGUCUUGUGAUGCUGGCAGGUUUACUUUGAAAAAAUUAGAGUGCUCAAAGCAGGCUUUUACGCCUGAAUAUUCGUGCAUGGAAUAAUAGAAUAGGAAGUCGUUUCUAUUUUGUUGGUUUUCGGAAAUCGACUUAAUGAAUAAUAGGGACAGUUUGGGGGCAUCG